AUAACAAUAAAUCAAUAUCUUUGUGUGAAGGUGUUAUUUCUUGUAACAUUUCAGGCCUCAAUUCAGUAAAACUAUAUGUCUUUUUUUGUUUUACUAUUAUACAAAAUUGAAGUUUGAGUCGAAUGGCUGUCUAGGGACAGAAUGGUGUCUUUGUAGUUUUUUUUUAUGGACAUAGGGGCUCUUUAGGUUGGACCACCUAUAACUGCAGUGUAUGAAAUGAUACAUCAGUUUUAUUUUCCCCAGAAGAAUCAAGAGAAUAGUAAAUAGAAUGAAGGGGACCAUACUCUUGGCUCAUCUGUUGUUGAUUUGGACCAUGACUGCUAAGUUUUAGGGUAGCUAUAAAAAAAAUAGACAGACUGCAUAGAAAAUUUCACAAUAUUUCAACACCAGUUUUUUCUGCUUAUUUCUGACUAGAUUAAUCAGCUGGAUGACAUUAAAAAGUACAAGAUCACCGAUGUCAAGGUCGCAAAUGCUUUCUGAUCUAUUUACUGUGACCCCAACUGAUGCUAUCCCCCGUUCUUUUAACAGUACCUGUAAAUUCAGACUCAGGUAAGUGGCCAGACUAGUUCAAUUCCUGAUUUAAUCUAACUAUGAAUUCUGGGGCAUUAUCUGGACAUUCUGUAGAACAGGUUUUCUCCCAACUCUCUUAAUUUAAUUUAGUAUUCAAAACUAUCUGACUAAAACCCACCAUAAUUAUUGGCACCCUUGAUAGAGAUGAGUAAAAAAAAAAAGACUAAAAUAAAUAAUACAAAAACUGAGCUAUAAUGUACACAAAAAAAUGGGGCGGUUACUGUAUUUAUACUAAUACAUUUGCUCACAAAAAAAUAUGAUUUUGUCAUCUGACCAUAGCAACACCUGGAGUUUGAUAAAUGGCAUUUGGAUUGGAACCAGUGCAAUGGUCAUAUGAUAUGAAAACAAGCUCUUUGGCCACGCACACCAGUGGUGUGUUUGGUGUUGAAAAACAGAAGCAUACUUGUAUGCUGUUAAAUAUGGUGGUGGAUCUUUGAUGUUAUGAGGCUAUUUUGCUUCCACUGGUCCUUGGGCCCUUGUUAAGGUCAACGGCAUCAUGAACUUUACCAAGUACCUGGACAUUUGUGCCAAAAACCUAGUUGCCAUUGCCAGGAUGCUGACACUUGGCCGCAAGUGGAUCUUCCAGCAAGACAAUAACACCAAGCACAUAUAGGUAAGGAUUAAGUGACUAGGCAACAGGAUGGAUAAAUAACAGUAACAGCAGCGCAUGUGAGUCAAAAGACUUAGUGCAAAAAGGGUCAAUGCAGACAGUCUGGGUAGCUAUUGGUUAACUACAAUACACUCACUACAUUAUACUGAACAAAAAUAUAAAUACAACAUGGAACAAUUUCAAAGAUUCUACUGCGUUACAGGUCAUAUAAGGACAUUCGUUAAUUGAAAUAAAUUCAUUAUGCCCUAAUCUAUGGAUUUCAGUCAGUAUGCCAAUUGCUCGCCCCCUCAAAACUUGAGACAUCUGUGGAAUUGUGUUAUGUGACAAACUGCACAUUUUAGCGUGGCCUUUUAUUGUCCUCAGCGCAAGGUGCACCUGGGUAAUGAUCAUACUGUUGAAUCAGCUUCUUGAUAUGCCACACCUGUUAGGUGGAUGGGUUAUCUCGGCAAAGGAGAAAUGCUCGUUAACAGGGAUGGAAACUAAUUUGUACACAAAAUUUGAGAGAAAUAUGCUUUUUGUGUGAAUGGAACACUUCAUGGAUCUUUUAUUUCAGCUCAUGAAACAUGGGACCAACACUUUGCAUGUUGCUUUUAUAUUUUUGUUCAGUGUAUUUAGAGGUCUUAUGGCUUGGGGGUAAAAGCUGUUCAGGAUCCUGUUGGUUCCAGACUUGGUGCAUCGGUACCGCUUGCAGUGUGGUAGCAGAGAGAACAGUCUAUGACUUGGGUUGCUGGAGUCUUGGAGAAUUUCUGGGGCCUUCCUCUGACACCACCUGGUAUAGAGGUCCUUGAAGCCCCCUCCUGCUGUUCAGAGACUGGCAUUUUCUACAAGAAAUCUGCCUCCAGAAAUAAAAGCUUCUCCCAAGUGGGUGUGACACCUACUCCUGUUGCCUGCUGCAGUGCUGCUUGGAUUCCACCUGGCGAUCUGUUCACCAUCUGCCCUGGUUGUCUCCCCCUGUCUGGUACAUGGGGAGACAUGGCGCUAGAUGUGUAUCUAGUUAAAUAGAAACUACAGUGGCCAUGUCAUUUAUUGUCGCUGGGAAUUUUCUCUCUAUUUGUUACACAGAUUUUUGGUCUCCCAUCCCAUUCUAACCACCUCUUGCCGGCUUUGUAUUCAUGUUACCUGAUGAAAUUGCUGUACAAUAUGAUCUUGUUGCCAUCUGAUACACAUUCAGAUGUCAUAAAUCAACACUGCAGAGCUCUCCCUGUCCUAUGCCGUGCCUUGAUUGUAUUACUGUUGAUGAUAUCUAGAAAUGUGCAUGUACACCCUGGCCCAUUUACUGUUGCCAUCCCCAAUUCUGCCAUCCCCAAUCCCCAAUGAAUAUCCUGAAAGGGCUUAUCAACCUGUUUCAUCAAAUGCUGUUUUUUCUAUAUCUUUAGUUCAGCUGAAAAUGAACGUGGCAGAAUCCUCGGACAAGAUCACACUAUCACGUGUUUAUGGUUUCACUUUCAGCCCUAAUAAUGAAACAACUCAUAUAUUGGAUUAUAAGGAUGAGAACAUAGGGGAGUUUGUAUGCAAGAAAGACGGAGAGGAAGAUCGCAAAAUCUAUGUGAAAUGUCGGAGGAUGGUUGUGGGAGUCCUGGUGGCCACUGUCUUGAUUGGAGUAGCUGUUUACUGCAUCGCCUCACAGCCCAAAGGAACACUAACCGCCGGCAAGAAAACAUCUAGCAAAAUGGGUCUCAUGAGGCCAGUGUCAACAAAAUUACUUGUCCACAAUGAGGUCAGUGUAAACAAAACAACUUGUCCACAAUGAGGUCAGUGUAAACAAAACAACUUGUCCACAAUGAGGUCAGUGUAAACAAAACAACUUGUCCACAAUGAGGUCAGUAUAAACAAAACAACUUGUCCACAAUGAGGUCAGUGUAAACAAAACAACUUGUCCACAAUGAGGUCAGUGUAAACAAAACAACUUGUCGAACUCGUUAAUUUAUAACCAUGGAUUGGAUCCAUUUGUGUCUGUCUUUUCUUUCUUUCUUUUUUCUUUCUUUCUUUCGGACAGAUCUGAAUACAGCACUCUGCCGAAAAGGAGAUGAAGAGAAUAAUAAAAUGUGCUCAGUGCUACAUUACUUUUACCACCCCUCAGAAUAAUAGUUGUAAAGCAUUGAGAAAUCAGGUCCACAAUGUCCAUGACAAGUCUCUCAACUGUCAAUCUUAUGUACAGAACCAUUGACUGUACAAGUUAACGUCAUUCGGAUGUUUGAUGUACAUACAUUGCCUGUUUGCUCAGUUGCUUUGUUAAGUUUGCUCUACUGUUUUGUUGUAAUUAUGUUGUAUGUUGUAAUUAUGUCUAAAACAACUAUUUUGGCCAGGUCUCUCUUGGAAAAUAGGUUUUUAAUCUCAAUGAGACUAACCCGGUGAAAUAAAACCAAAUAAAAUAAAUAAAUAAUUAAAUGGAAAGGUGGUCACAAAAUAGACUGCAAUUGCAACAAUAAAUCAUUGACUUUUA
Molecule: non-coding RNA, 3623 nt
Organism: Salmo salar (Atlantic salmon)
Lineage: Eukaryota; Metazoa; Chordata; Actinopteri; Salmoniformes; Salmonidae
Source: RefSeq, a predicted model, not a curated record